This is a long non-coding RNA of Mytilus californianus (California mussel), 2133 nucleotides long. RefSeq lists it as uncharacterized. NCBI's taxonomy places the organism in Eukaryota, Metazoa, Mollusca, Bivalvia, Mytilida, Mytilidae. The record is from RefSeq and is a predicted model, not a curated record. The transcript is spliced from 3 exons.
UAAGUUACCCAAAGGUAGCCUCACUGUUAUUUUUGUGGUUAAAUUGUCUCCCUUAAUGGAAAUCUUUUACUGGCAAUAUGGCAGCUUUCAGUGAUGAAAAGCAGACGUCUAUGUUCGGUCCGAUUUUUCUAAUCUUUGAGGUUGUUGUGGACAAUCAAAGCACUAUACAACUCAUCUGUUAGACAAGGUUUAUCUUUGUACAAAGGACACAACCACCACCUUAAAUUUAUCCACAGCACUGAGGGCAGUGAGGCCUGUUUAUCAAACUUUCCACAUGUUCCAGGAGGACUAUUUUAUACACAUAAGUGACAUUGUUUUCUGUUGAUCGUGCUGCUAUAAAAUUGUCAAUAUGUCCAUGCCGAUGGCACAGAGACUUUUUUGGGAUAUAUUGGCGGGACUAUUCAACAAAGUGUGGAUUAAAAGAUCGUCCUGCGGACACUAAGGCAAAACUCCAAAAGGCGAAAAGCUGAUAGUGAUGGAGGAACUACACUAACCCUAUCAUAGGAAUACUGACUUUUAUAAUGACAACUAAUUCCAAAAGUGUCAGGUUUCUGCAAGCAGUGUUUUACCAAGAUUAGACAAACAGUAACUGAUGGAGGAAUCAUAGUUGGUACAAAAAAGAUUAUGAUAAGAAAACAUACAUAUGGAGAUGAAAGCCAAAUUAAAGAUGCUCAGGUUCUCAUAGGAGUAUAUUCACAGCAUCAACUAAUUUUUCAUAAUAUUUAGCAUCAGAUUGGGAAACAGAUAACAUUUCUGACCGGGAGAAACUCAACAGAGGCUUGCAUUUCCUUUGAAAUGGAAAGUAUCCACCAUUUAGGAACCAAUUGAAUCUUGCAUGGGAUGAUGUAUCAAAAAGUACAAUGGCUUUUUCUACAUAAUUAUCAUCAGAAAUUAUUGAUUUGAUUUUGAAUUAUAUUGUACCUGCACAGUACAAGUCGAUAAAGUGUUCUGAUCUGUAGUAGAAAAGAGGAAAACAGACGAAGCACAGUCAAUAUUACAACAGGAUGUUUUGACCGAAGCUAUUAUUGAUGCAUACUUACUAACUUAGACCUGAAUAGUCAUCCGACCUGGCUUCAGAUCUUAUCACUGUUUGCAUGUAUUCAGACCGUUUUGGUAGACUUCGCUAAUAUUAUAUGACAGUAAAACUAUAAGAAAACAGCCUGAAUAAUUAUAUAACCAUUUUGAUGAAAAUGUUUGCACCACAGUUGAACCAUUUAUCUGUAUAUUUGUUUUUAUUCAUGAAGUUUAAAAUAAAUUUUAUUUCCAUUUGAAAUAUUUUUGUUUGUCUGUGGUAGUAAUAGGCUAACUACAUCUUACAUGUCUUAUUCACAUGCCUCAAGUUAUUGGAGAUUACAUUCUAUGAGGAAACUUAACAUUGUUGUUAUGUCAACUGUUAUCCCAGAAGCUACAUAGGGAUCACUAUCUGUCAUUCAUGUCACAAAAUUUAAGUAACACUUUUCUCAGCAUCUGCUUGAUAUUUGACAAAAAGCUUAUAAAGAUUAAUUCCAAUAUAAAAAAAAUGGACCUCCUUUUCUAGGUAAGAAGCACUCAGUCUCAAUUUUUAUAUGUGUAUGUAACAUCAUCAAAUACAACAUGUAUUUACAUAUCAAUACUGAACAAAAGUAGCCAUAUCCAUUUUAGACAACAAAUGUCUAAAAUUAGCACAAAUGCUAAAAUUGUGAAUAUUUCAGAAAUUUUACAUAAAUUAAUGAUGAUAGUACCUGUUGAAUGUUCAUAGUAUUCUAAAAAAAACAGCCCAUUAAAAAAAGAUUUUAAAUCAUGAAAGUAACUGAAGUAUUCUACUUUUGAAAAGUGACUUCAAUAAGUAGCGAUAAGUUAAUACAUGUAUUUUAAACAAAUUGAAAAAUGCUAAAUUUUGGGGCUUAAAAGGGGUCUUUCCAGGCCUACUUCUGGAGUAUAUUUUCAAUUAAAACUAAGUUAAACUGAGUUUAAUCAAACAAGAUAAGCAAUAAACAUUAUAUCUGUCAUUAUUUACUUAUAUUUUUACUAUCACAUACAUUUGUAAAGUUUCUCUUGUAACCAAUAAAAAAAUCAUAAAUACGGCAAAAUUGCCAUCUUGUCCAUCUUAAAUUGUUAUUUUAUCGUAAGAAGGUAUCAUUUGCCGAGCACCAU